Molecule: ribosomal RNA, 514 nt
Filed under: uncultured bacterium
Lineage: Bacteria
Description: bacterial SSU rRNA
Rfam family: Bacterial small subunit ribosomal RNA
Source: RNAcentral
CUCCCUACGGGAGGCAGCAGUGGGGAAUAUUGCACAAUGGGCGCAAGCCUGAUGCAGCGACGCCGCGUGAGGGAUGACGGCCUUCGGGUUGUAAACCUCUUUCACCAGGGACGAAGCGAAAGUGACGGUACCUGGAGAAGAAGCACCGGCCAACUACGUGCCAGCAGCCGCGGUAAUACGUAGGGUGCGAGCGUUGUCCGGAAUUACUGGGCGUAAAGAGUUCGUAGGCGGUUUGUCGCGUCGUUCGUGAAAACUUGGGGCUUAACUCCAAGCGUGCGGGCGAUACGGGCAGACUUGAGUACUACAGGGGAGACUGGAAUUCCUGGUGUAGCGGUGAAAUGCGCAGAUAUCAGGAGGAACACCGGUGGCGAAGGCGGGUCUCUGGGUAGUAACUGACGCUGAGGAACGAAAGCGUGGGUAGCGAACAGGAUUAGAUACCCUGGUAGUCCACGCUGUAAACGGUGGGUACUAGGUGUGGGUUCCUUUUCACGGGAUCCGUGCCGUAGCUAACGCA